This 956-nucleotide ribosomal RNA is filed under the name Staphylococcus aureus. Its description in RNAcentral is "partial 23S ribosomal RNA". It matches the Rfam family "Bacterial large subunit ribosomal RNA", at positions 604 to 1561 of the family's 2925-position model. The record is from RNAcentral. Lineage: Bacteria; Bacillati; Bacillota; Bacilli; Caryophanales; Staphylococcaceae.
CCUUUUGUAGAAUGAACCGGCGAGUUACGAUUUGAUGCAAGGUUAAGCAGUAAAUGUGGAGCCGUAGCGAAAGCGAGUCUGAAUAGGGCGUUUAGUAUUUGGUCGUAGACCCGAAACCAGGUGAUCUACCCUUGGUCAGGUUGAAGUUCAGGUAACACUGAAUGGAGGACCGAACCGACUUACGUUGAAAAGUGAGCGGAUGAACUGAGGGUAGCGGAGAAAUUCCAAUCGAACCUGGAGAUAGCUGGUUCUCUCCGAAAUAGCUUUAGGGCUAGCCUCAAGUGAUGAUUAUUGGAGGUAGAGCACUGUUUGGACGAGGGGCCCCUCUCGGGUUACCGAAUUCAGACAAACUCCGAAUGCCAAUUAAUUUAACUUGGGAGUCAGAACAUGGGUGAUAAGGUCCGUGUUCGAAAGGGAAACAGCCCAGACCACCAGCUAAGGUCCCAAAAUAUAUGUUAAGUGGAAAAGGAUGUGGCGUUGCCCAGACAACUAGGAUGUUGGCUUAGAAGCAGCCAUCAUUUAAAGAGUGCGUAAUAGCUCACUAGUCGAGUGACACUGCGCCGAAAAUGUACCGGGGCUAAACAUAUUACCGAAGCUGUGGAUUGUCCUUUGGACAAUGGUAGGAGAGCGUUCUAAGGGCGUUGAAGCAUGAUCGUAAGGACAUGUGGAGCGCUUAGAAGUGAGAAUGCCGGUGUGAGUAGCGAAAGACGGGUGAGAAUCCCGUCCACCGAUUGACUAAGGUUUCCAGAGGAAGGCUCGUCCGCUCUGGGUUAGUCGGGUCCUAAGCUGAGGCCGACAGGCGUAGGCGAUGGAUAACAGGUUGAUAUUCCUGUACCACCUAUAAUCGUUUUAAUCGAUGGGGGGACGCAGUAGGAUAGGCGAAGCGUGCGAUUGGAUUGCACGUCUAAGCAGUAAGGCUGAGUAUUAGGCAAAUCCGGUACUCGUUAAGGCUGAGC